GUGUCAGCCGCCGCGGUAAUACAGAGGGGGCAAGCGUUGUUCGGAAUUACUGGGCGUAAAGGGCGCGUAGGCGGCCGCCUAAGUCAGACGUGAAAUCCCUCGGCUCAACCGGGGAACUGCGUCUGAUACUGGGUGGCUUGAAUCCGGGAGAGGGAUGCGGAAUUCCAGGUGUAGCGGUGAAAUGCGUAGAUAUCUGGAGGAACACCGGUGGCGAAGGCGGCAUCCUGGACCGGCAUUGACGCUGAGGCGCGAAAGCCAGGGGAGCAAACGGGAUUAGAUACCCCCGUAGUCC
Molecule: ribosomal RNA, 292 nt
Filed under: uncultured bacterium
Lineage: Bacteria
Description: partial 16S ribosomal RNA
Rfam family: Bacterial small subunit ribosomal RNA
Source: RNAcentral